Small nuclear RNA from Rattus norvegicus (Norway rat), 100 nucleotides. Lineage: Eukaryota; Metazoa; Chordata; Mammalia; Rodentia; Muridae. The record is from Ensembl.
UUGAUUCAGCAACACAGAUACUAAAAUUGGAACGAUACAGAGAUUAGCAUGGUCCCUGUGCAAGGAUGACUUGCAAAUUCAUAAAAUAUUCCAUAUUUUA